This 403-nucleotide ribosomal RNA is filed under the name uncultured bacterium. RNAcentral describes it as "partial 16S ribosomal RNA". It matches the Rfam family "Bacterial small subunit ribosomal RNA", at positions 30 to 526 of the family's 1533-position model. The record is from RNAcentral.
AUUGAACGCUGGCGGCAGGCCUAACACAUGCAAGUCGAGCGAGCGGCGGAGGGGGGCGUAAUGUAUGGGGACUGCCCGAAAGAGGGGGAUAACUACUGGAAAAGGUAGCUAAUACCGCAUACUAUCGGAUAACCCAUAUGGGAUUAGCUAGUAGGUGAGGUAAUGGCUCACCUAGGCGACGAUCCAUAGCUGGUCUGAGAGGAUGAUCGGCCACACUGGGACUGAGACACGGCCCAGACUCCUACGGAGGCAGCAGUGGGGAAUCUUGCACAAUGGGCGCAAGCCUGAUGCAGCCAUGCCGCGUGUAUGAAGAAGGCUCUAGGGUUGUAAAGUACUUUCAGUCGAGAGGCGUUACCUACAGAAGAAGCCCCGGCUAACUCCGUGCCAGCAGCCGCGGUAAUUC